AUAGCGUAUAUUAAAGUUGUUGCAGUUAAAAAGCUCGUAGUUGAAUUUUGGGCCUGGCUGGGUGGUCUUGCCGCAAGGUAAGCACUGCUCUGGUUGGGUCUUUCCUUCUGGGGAACCAGCGUGCUCUUAAUUGAGUGCGUUGGGGAUCCAGGACUUUUACUUUGAAAAAAUUAGAGUGUUUAAAGCAGGCUUACGCUUGAAUACAUUAGCAUGGAAUAAUAGAAUAGGACUUUGGUUCUAUUUUGUUGGUUUCUAGGACCGAAGUAAUGAUUAAUAGGGAUAGUUGGGGGCAUUAGUAUUUAAUUGUCAGAGGUGAAAUUCUUGGAUUUAUGAAAGACUAACUUCUG
This 347-nucleotide ribosomal RNA is filed under the name uncultured eukaryote. RNAcentral's name for it is "SSU rRNA". It matches the Rfam family "Eukaryotic small subunit ribosomal RNA", at positions 594 to 945 of the family's 1831-position model. The record is from RNAcentral.